This 318-nucleotide long non-coding RNA is filed under the name Citrus maxima (pomelo). RNAcentral's name for it is "long non-coding RNA (CMAX_LNC002039)". Lineage: Eukaryota; Viridiplantae; Streptophyta; Magnoliopsida; Sapindales; Rutaceae. The record is from RNAcentral.
GAGCAAGCAUAGGCGAAUAGAAAAAAUACUUGGGCACAAUCGCCAUGGCCUCAACGCAAUGCUACAAGCCAGUUGAGCAAACAUGCUACCAAGGCCAGUACUAUGAGUAUGACAGCUCAGUGGCUCACAAAACCCAUGCAACACAGCCCUCAUUGGUCAAAACCCAGACCCAAUGCACCACCAAAACCCAGGCCUACUAUGGCGAAACCCAAACCAACAAUCCAAGUCCAAACAACGACUAUGGCUAUGGCUAUGGCCACCCUCACAGCCAGAGCCACGGUAACUAUGUGGAGCAAACCAAAGCUCAUGGAUCCACCA